UUCUUAUCGAGAGUGGUGGAGGGACUGGCCCGAUGAAACCCGGCAACCUUGGUCUGAUGGACCUUACGGUGCUAAAUCCUGCGGAGUUAUUCUGAGAGAUAAGAA
Regulatory RNA element from Brevibacillus borstelensis AK1, 105 nucleotides. It matches the Rfam family "SAM riboswitch aptamer (S box leader)". Rfam says of the family: The SAM riboswitch is found upstream of a number of genes which code for proteins involved in methionine or cysteine biosynthesis in Gram-positive bacteria. The SAM riboswitch acts at the level of transcription termination control. The predicted structure consists of a complex stem-loop region followed by a single stem loop terminator region. The record is from Rfam. Lineage: Bacteria; Bacillati; Bacillota; Bacilli; Caryophanales; Paenibacillaceae.